RNAcentral lists this ribosomal RNA (253 nucleotides) under uncultured bacterium. RNAcentral's name for it is "partial 16S ribosomal RNA". It matches the Rfam family "Bacterial small subunit ribosomal RNA", at positions 524 to 776 of the family's 1533-position model. The record is from RNAcentral.
GACGAACCGUGCGAACGUUAUUCGGAUUCACUGGGCUUAAAGGGCGCGUAGGCGGUGGACCCAGUCCGGGGUGAAAUCUUUCGGCUCAACCGGAAAAGUGCCUCGGAUACUGGUUCACUCGAGGGAGGUAGGGGCAUGUGGAACUUCCGGUGGAGCGGUGAAAUGCGUUGAUAUCGGAAGGAACGCCGGUGGCGAAGGCGGCCUGCUGGGCAGUUGCUGACACUGAGGCGCGACAGCGUGGGGAGCAAACAGG